RNAcentral lists this ribosomal RNA (229 nucleotides) under uncultured bacterium. RNAcentral's name for it is "partial 16S ribosomal RNA". It matches the Rfam family "Bacterial small subunit ribosomal RNA", at positions 568 to 796 of the family's 1533-position model. The record is from RNAcentral.
UCCGUAGGUGGAUCAAUCAGUCAGAUGUGAAAUCCUGCAGCUUAACUGUAGAACUGCCUUUGAUACUGUUGAUCUUGAGUCAUUAUGAAGUGGUUAGAAUGUGUAGUGUAGCGGUGAAAUGCAUAGAUAUUACACAGAAUACCGAUUGCGAAGGCAGAUCACUAAUAAUGUACUGACACUGAGGGACGAAAGCGUGGGGAGCGAACAGGAUUAGAUACCCUGGUAGUCC